Unclassified non-coding RNA from Mustela putorius furo (domestic ferret), 300 nucleotides. It matches the Rfam family "Nuclear RNase P". From Rfam's summary of the family: Ribonuclease P (RNase P) is a ubiquitous endoribonuclease, found in archaea, bacteria and eukarya as well as chloroplasts and mitochondria. Its best characterised activity is the generation of mature 5'-ends of tRNAs by cleaving the 5'-leader elements of precursor-tRNAs. The record is from Ensembl. NCBI's taxonomy places the organism in Eukaryota, Metazoa, Chordata, Mammalia, Carnivora, Mustelidae.
GGGGAAUGGAAACUUUGGACAGUUAUAAAAGUCACUUAAGACUUCAGUUAUUUUAAAAGCGGCCUUAACAGGGUCCUCCCUGAUUUUGGGGACAUGAGUUCCCAGAGAAUGGGGCUCUGUGUGCAAGGGCAGACUGGGCAGGAGAUGCCUUAGGCCCCAUCCCUUGGGGAGGGGCAUGGCGGAUACUUCCUUAGCCAGAGCUUGGAACAGACUCAAGGCCAGCAAAAUGAGUUCAAUGGCUGAGGUGAGGUACCCUGGUUGGGGGCCUCAUAACCCAAUUCAGUCUACUCUCCCCCGCCC